AGAACAAUCCAAGCAAGGGAACAGUUUAUGACAAAGUGCAGAAAUUUGCAAACAAUUCAGCACUUUUGAAAUGCAAACACGUGUGAGGUCAGGGUGGAAAGAAGAAAAUAGGAGAGGGGCUGAAACGCAGGAUGUCUCUUGGCAGAAACAAGAUAACAAAAAGCCUCGUGAACUGUACCAAGGAAUUUAAGUUUAUAUGUACUUGAAGAUGACAAGCAAGGGACUGAAUGUUCACAAGAUCACUCUGGCAACCCUGGGGAGACUGGAAUCGAAGCAGCAUCAUUGUCUAGGGAUGAAGAAGAGGUGCAACUUGGAAAAGAGAUCAGCAGCAAUCCAGCUGGAAAAUAGUGAUCAUCUGAGAGGAGAGUGGCCAUCUGGUUGAAUGAAGGGCAACAGGCGUGAAUAAAAUAAAAGAAGUAGGCUUGAUGGGUAACUGACCACCUGUGGGGAAUUAAGGAUGUUUAUCAGAGAGGAUGAAAUAUUGGGAUGGUUUUGUGGAGGGAGGGCAGUAGAGGGGUUCAAGCCAGGACAUUUGGGCAGAGAUGCCCUAUCUCUUGGCUUAUACUAGUGAGUUCACCUGGAUAAAACUUUUACUGUGAAGCGGUGACACUCUGCCCAUCCACCUUGUAAGUUCUUCUAUUAUAAGGCUGUAGAAAAAGACUCAAGUGGCUCUUUAAUUUGAUUCCUUGUGCAGGUUAGAUUUUUUUCCUAGAAUAACUUCAGUCUGCUAAUUUCACAUUAGUAUUACUUAAGGUCCUCAACAAUCAAAGAAAAGCUGCUUUCAGACUUCAAGUGCCCACAAGGCACUCCUUGGGAACAUGUACUACUAAUCCUGUGUGUUCCUUCUAAGCCGAACACUGACCUAUGAAGUCCCUCAAUCAAGUAUCUCUGCUCUUUUCCAUAGUGUCACUAUUACUGUCUUCACUUUUUUUCUUUCAUGUCACCCUUUCUCUCUCAGUUUACCUCUUUUCCCUGGGCAAAGAUGCUGCCAAAACUAUACAGCCAAACUGCCUCCCUAAUCAAGACUGGGAAUAAUAAUAGACCACUGCUCCAAUGGAGCAUCUCUUUCUUUUCAGGGCUGCAUGACACUUUGCACGGAGCUUCCUACCUCCAAGUGACAUUCUUACCUGCAGCUGAGUAAAUGAGUCCGCCUCCCAUACAGUUGUUUUAUAGGAUUUGCUAGGGAUUAAUUCUUUCUUUUCAGCUGUACCUUGUCAGAGACCACAAAUGAACAAAGAGGAACAUCAAGAAAUAGGAGAUAGGCUGCGUUUGGCUUUGUCUGGCAUUCACUCCUAUUCACCCGGCCAAGUUUCUUGAUGCUGUUGUGACGAGGCAUUGUUGUGGGUGGAAAGCUUGGAGCUAUAAUGCACGUGGCUGCCACACAGCUGGCGCUGUCGGCUUGAAGCUGGAAUGGAGUGAACCCGCCUGUUAAUUUGUACAUGAACACACACUAAUCUCUCAUUCACACCCUGGGUGGCUGGUUUGUUCUGCACACAGAUGAAUCUAAAAAGCUUUGGCCCUCUGGCAUUCCACAGAUGAGAUUCUCAUUAGGAACGGCAGUUCCCUCUCUGACCCAAUGGAAGAAGUAUCAUGGGCUCCAAUCCCAGCUUCUCAUUCUCUCCCUAUUUAAUACUACUAAUAAUAUUUAGCAUAUUUGAGUCCUUCCUACUACUACCAGAUCCAUGUAAAGAGCUUUACAGACAAUCGCCCACUCAGUCCCUACAAACAUCUGCUGGGGAGUCACUGCCUAACAGUGGGUGUGUUCCCCAUUUCUAAAAUUUCCCCAGACCAGUUGCCAUCUUCCUUCCUGGACACAAUAAUUGCUGCUCUAAUUUCCCUGCUCUCUAACCCUAUCUUUAGAUCCAUAUAUCAGUUCCUGCAUCCUCAGGGACCCCUGUCUUAAUGCUUUCUUCUUUAGCUCCAUCCCAGCACACUCUACCUAAUAUAGUUCCAUGGUCCACAGUUCCAUGGUCCAUGACCAUGGACAUUAUGGUGGCAAGAAUUUAUCCACCAACCAGGUCACCUCUAGUUUACAAUAAUAAUAAAAUUUAAAUGUAAUUUUAUACUUACCUCCAAACUCAUCCUUAUAUACAUUAAAUAUAUAUAUAGCCUACUGUAUGCCAACCAUACCUUAAUAAAGUAGUUUUAAAUAUAAAUUUAAUUCAACUUAUGUUAUUUUGAUUAUGAACAAAUUAAAUUGAAUUAAGUUUAAGUUUAAUUAUAAUUAAUGUAGUAUAAAAUAGAAAUAUGAUUUUUAAUAUAUUAAAUGUAAUUAUAAUUUUCACUCGUGUCCAUGUGAAGAGACCACCAAACAGGC
This 2317-nucleotide long non-coding RNA is filed under the name Homo sapiens (human). RNAcentral's name for it is "HSALNT0039318". Lineage: Eukaryota; Metazoa; Chordata; Mammalia; Primates; Hominidae. The record is from RNAcentral.